GAUGAACGCUGGCGGCGUGCCUAACACAUGCAAGUCGAGCGAAGUUUAGAGGAAGUGCUUGCACGGAAUCGAAGACUUAGCGGCGGACGGGUGAGUAACGCGUGAGCAACCUACCUUUCACAGGGGAAUAACAACGGGAAACCCGUUGCUAAUACCGCAUGAUAUUAAGAGAAGACAUCUUCUUUUAAUCAAAGGAGCAAUCCGGUGAAAGAUGGGCUCGCGUCCGAUUAGCUAGUUGGUAAGGUAAAGGCUUACCAAGGCAACGAUCGGUAGCCGAACUGAGAGGUUGACCGGCCACAUUGGGACUGGGACACGGCCCAGACUCCUACGGGAGGCAGCAGUGGGGAAUAUUGGGCAAUGGGCGAAAGCCUGACCCAGCAACGCCGCGUGAAGGAUGAAGGCCUUAGGGUUGUAAACUUCUUUGAUCAGGGAAGAAAAAAAUGACGGUACCUGAAGAACAAGCCACGGCUAACUACGUGCCAGCAGCCGCGGUAAUACGUAGGUGGCAAGCGUUAUCCGGAUUUACUGGGUGUAAAGGGCGUGCAGGCGGGUUUGUAAGUCAGAUGUGAAAUCUCCAGGCUUAACUUGGAAACUGCAUCUGAAACUACAAAUCUUGAGUACUGGAGAGGAUAGUGGAAUUCCUAGUGUAGCGGUAAAAUGCGUAGAUAUUAGGAGGAACACCAGUGGCGAAGGCGGCUAUCUGGACAGUAACUGACGCUGAGGCGCGAAAGCGUGGGUAGCAAACAGG
This 748-nucleotide ribosomal RNA is filed under the name uncultured bacterium. Its description in RNAcentral is "bacterial SSU rRNA". It matches the Rfam family "Bacterial small subunit ribosomal RNA", at positions 28 to 776 of the family's 1533-position model. The record is from RNAcentral.